GGCUCGGUGGCGCAAUUUGGUAGCGCGUUUGACUCCAGAUCAAAAGGUUGCGUGUUCAAAUCACGUCCGGGUCA
Dermatophagoides farinae (American house dust mite) is the source of this 74-nucleotide non-coding RNA. The record is from the annotation of a RefSeq genome assembly. NCBI's taxonomy places the organism in Eukaryota, Metazoa, Arthropoda, Arachnida, Sarcoptiformes, Pyroglyphidae.